UAGCUAGUUGGUGAGGUAAAGGCUUACCAAGGCGACGAUCUGUAGCGGGUCUGAGAGGAUGAUCCGCCACACUGGAACUGAGACACGGUCCAGACUCCUACGGGAGGCAGCAGUGGGGAAUUUUGGACAAUGGGGGCAACCCUGAUCCAGCCAUGCCGCGUGAGUGAAGAAGGCCUUCGGGUUGUAAAGCUCUUUCGGCCGGGAAGAAAUCGCAUGGGCCAAUACCCUGUGUGGAUGACGGUACCGGAAUAAGAAGCACCGGCUAACUACGUGCCAGCAGCCGCGGUAAUACGUAGGGUGCGAGCGUUAAUCGGAAUUACUGGGCGUAAAGCGUGCGCAGGCGGUUUUGUAAGACAGGCGUGAAAUCCCCGGGCUUAACCUGGGAACUGCGUUUGUGACUGCAAGGCUAGAGUACGGCAGAGGGGGGUGGAAUUCCACGUGUAGCAGUGAAAUGCGUAGAGAUGUGGAGGAACACCAAUGGCGAAGGCAGCCCCCUGGGUCGAUACUGACGCUCAUGCACGAAAGCGUGGGUAGCAAACAGGAUUAGAUACCCUGGUAGUCCACGCCCUAAACUAUGUCAACUAGGUAUUGGGUGGGUAAAACCAUUUAGUACCGUAGCUAACGCGUGAAGUUGACCGCCUGGGGAGUACGGCCGCAAGGUUAAAACUCAAAGGAAUUGACGGGGACCCGCACAAGCGGUGGAUGAUGUGGAUUAAUUCGAUGCAACGCGAAAAACCUUACCUACCCUUGACAUGCCAGGAACUUGCCAGAGAUGGCUUGGUGCCCGAAAGGGAGCCUGGACACAGGUGCUGCAUGGCUGUCGUCAGCUCGUGUCGUGAGAUGUUGGGUUAAGUCCCGCAACGAGCGCAACCCUUGUCGUUAAUUGCCAUCAUUUAGUUGGGCACUUUAACGAGACUGCCGGUGACAAACCGGAGGAAGGUGGGGAUGACGUCAAGUCCUCAUGGCCCUUAUGGGUAGGGCUUCACACGUCAUACAAUGGUCGGCACAAAGGGUUGCCAAGCCGCGAGGCGGAGCCAAUCCCAGAAAGCCGAUCGUAGUCCGGAUUGCAGGCUGCAACUCGCCUGCAUGAAGUCGGAAUCGCUAGUAAUCGUGGAUCAGCAUGUCACGGUGAAUACGUUCCCGGGUCUUGUACACACCGCCCGUCACACCAUGGGAGCGGGUUCCGCCAGAAGUAGGUAGCCUAACCGCAAGGGGGGCGCUUACCACGGCGGGGUUCGUGACUGGGGUGAAGUCGUAACAAGGUAGCCGUAGGGGAACCUGCGGCUG
Molecule: ribosomal RNA, 1287 nt
Filed under: metagenome
Description: bacterial SSU rRNA
Rfam family: Bacterial small subunit ribosomal RNA
Source: RNAcentral